GCCGUUGCCCGUUCCCUGCAAAGCGGGAGCAGCAGGUGAAGUUGCGCGGCUGCCGAGGCAGCGGGCCGGGCCCGCCUCACUCACCUCAUCCCCUUGGCCGAACUGCAGCCCCAGGGCGACGAAGUGCUCCACCCGGAUGAAGCCGUCCGCAUCCUCAUCGCAAACGUCGAAAACCUCCUUGAGCUUCCGCAGGAACCGCAGGAGGCUCGUGGGCUCCAUCGCGGGCAUCAGCGGGAGGCCGGCGGCGCGGCCGCAGCAGCCAUGAUCGCCCGCGCCUUCAGCGGAGUUUCUUGGACUGCUCGUUAAGCCCACAGCUGUGAGCUGCCAGAGGGAAGCCCAGGAGGGGUUCUGGUUCCUGCACUGUGCCCCUCACCAGGGAUCGCGGGGCAGCAUCCUGGGGAGGUAGGAACACUGGCACUCAGGUACGUGCUGCCUCCCGCAGCACUUCUUCCCCAGCGGGGCUGCUGAGCACAGGUCACCAUCCAUCACCGAGUGACGUUCUGUAGGUGAUGGAUAGAGCUGCCCACCUAAAAUGACCACGAAAGUGAGCAGGUUUUGAAUUGAGACAGUAUCCAUUCAUUUGCUCCUUGCAGUAAGAGAGGCCCAUAGCAACCCUGAAAAGCCCAUGAUUAGAGCUGGCGAGUCGAAUUAAUCUAUUUUCUAGAACCAAUAGGAGUGUUCUCCUCAGGAAGUUUUGUUUCUUCCAGCACAAGUCUCUCAUUCCUUUUAUGUGCAAAUUCAGACUGAUCUGACAUCCCUGUAGGCUGUAAGUCAGCUGUCAGUCACCACCACAGGGACAGCACACGCUGCACUAGCGACACAGCUCCCCACAAAUCCACCCCCCGACGCAGAUGAGGAGCCGGUUCCAGAGCCCCUGCCACCUUGACCUUUGCUUGGUUUUACAACAAAUACAGAAGGGUUCUCCUGUUCCCUUUCUGAUAUACAAAAAGGUCUUUCCAAACUGGGGGGAAAAAAAAAAAUAUCAAAGUGCAGAGAUCAGAUACGACCCUUGGGAAGCAAAGAAUUUAGGAAGAGAUGUGAAGAGAUCUGAAAGAGAAAAGGGAGGCAAAAUAUUUGAUCAGGAAACUUCUCUGAAGUUGUCUAGUUAGAGCAGGAUUCUUAAGAUGUGUGGAUGUUUAGCUUUUAUCUCAGGACCCUUGAACUCAUAUUCAAGUUACAUGGGCAUCGAGCUUAGCAUAUCCCUUAGGGGCAUCUAUUCAAAGUAUUCAAAAAUCUGUGAGCUGUUAGCCCUCAGAGCUGUGGAAAGCACACCUAUGUGGAAUCAGCUGCCGUUAGUCUAAGUGCUCUGAAGUGGAGUUCAAGCUCUUCAAAGCUUGAGAGCGCACUUUUAUCAUUGUCCCACCUUGCUUGCUGAGAUAGCCUUGGGGUGCCUCCUUGCGCCAUCUGACUCACCUCCCUGUGCGCAGAUGGGCAGCUGAAGAGAGAAUUGGGAUGUGAGGGGCAGUCAGUUAAGGUCUAGGAUAAGCUGGGGGCGCCCCAAGGGUGCUGAAAUCAGGAUGCUGAGCUGAACACGUACCACACACUUGCACUGGUAAGGUACAGUUUGUAAAGCCAAACUGAGGAGGAGGUCAGUUCUUACUGCCAGUGGAUGUAGCUGGCAUCACUCCUUGCUGAUCUCUGCUUCUCUGGUUCGCGGUAGAACAGAUCUGCCAUUUUUCCUGACUGUAUCAAAUACUUGUUUAAUCAGAGGUGUUUGGCAGCUUCUUCAUUUGACUUGUGCGCUGUGUGGAAUAAAUACUUUGUAUGCUGUAAA
Long non-coding RNA from Columba livia (rock pigeon), 1774 nucleotides. RefSeq lists it as uncharacterized. The record is from RefSeq and is a predicted model, not a curated record. NCBI's taxonomy places the organism in Eukaryota, Metazoa, Chordata, Aves, Columbiformes, Columbidae. The transcript is spliced from 2 exons.